This 497-nucleotide ribosomal RNA is filed under the name uncultured bacterium. RNAcentral's name for it is "partial 16S ribosomal RNA". It matches the Rfam family "Bacterial small subunit ribosomal RNA", at positions 28 to 507 of the family's 1533-position model. The record is from RNAcentral.
GAUGAACGCUGGCGGCGUGCCUAAUACAUGCAAGUCGAGCGAACAGACGAGGAGCUUGCUCCUCUGACGUUAGCGGCGGACGGGUGAGUAACACGUGGAUAACCUACCUAUAAGACUGGGAUAACUUCGGGAAACCGGAGCUAAUACCGGAUAAUAUAUUGAACCGCAUGGUUCAAUAGUGAAAGACGGUUUUGCUGUCACUUAUAGAUGGAUCCGCGCUGCAUUAGCUAGUUGGUAAGGUAACGGCUUACCAAGGCAACGAUGCGUAGCCGACCUGAGAGGGUGGUCGGCCACACUGGAACUGAGACACGGUCCAGACUCCUACGGGAGGCAGCAGUAGGGAAUCUUCGGCAGUGGGAGGAAGCCUGGCGGAGCAACGCCGAGUGAGUGAUGAAGGUCUUCGGAUCGUAAAACUCUGUUAUUAGGGAAGAACAAAUGUGUAAGUAACUAUGCACGUAUUGACGGUACCUAAUCAGAAAGCCACGGCUAACUACGUG